CUUCAAAAAUAGCCUGACGCAUUCAAUGACGCCACGGGUAAACAAAAGCUUUCUUCUUCAGCAAUCCAAAACCCUACUAUAAAUAACAAUCCCUCCUUUUUCUAUCAAUCCAUACCCACACCCAAACAACCGCUAUUCCAUUUACAAACAGUCCUCUAUUCUAUUUACUUCACUAACCCCAACAAUGGCACCGAGUGACGUAAAGGUUCUGGGCGCACCGCCGAGCCCGUUUGUGAACCGGGUUCAAAUCGCCCUCAACUUGAAACACGUCGACUACGAGUUUCUCGAGGAGACGUUUGGGUACAAGAGUGAGUUGCUACUGAAAUCGAACCCGAUUCACAAGAAAGUCCCUGUUUUGAUCCAUGGGGGAAAACCCGUUUGCGAGUCUCUCGUUAUUGUGCAGUAUAUUGACGAGGUGUGGAUCGAUGGCCCAGGUAUUCUCCCUUCGGAUCCGUAUGAUCGAGCCACGGCCCGGUUCUGGGCUGCUUAUGUUGAUGAUAAGUGGUGGCCAACACUGAGGGGGCUAACAAAUGCAGAGGGAGAGGAGGCAAAAGCGGCCGCACUAGAGCAAGUUAUGGAAGGGAUCAUACUGUUGGAGGAUGCUUUCGCGAAAUGUGGCAAGGGAAAGGACUUCUUCGGAGGUGACACCAUCGGAUACCUAGACAUAGCCCUCGGGGGCUUCUUGGGGUGGCUGAGAGCGGCAGAGAAGAUGACCGAUCUAAAGAUCCUCGACGCAACCAAGACACCAGGUCUAUUUGGAUGGGCGCAUAGAUUUGGUUCAAAUGCCGCUUUGAAGGAUGUUAUUCCGAAAACAGAGAAGAUUGUGGAGCUUGCCAAGAUGUUAACUGCUAGAGCAAAAGCCCAGUAAUUUCCCCAAUUCGGUUGUCACCAAGUCAAUAAUCUGGGCUGCUUAGAUUGCUCUGGAUGGUCUCUGUAAUUUUUUUUUUUUUUUUUGGUAAUUUUGUUUCCAAUUUUGGUUUCUUUUUUCUUCAGAUGUUUGUAAUUCAAUAAUGUGGCAUACUACUUAUAUGGGAAACUAUGGUUAUGUAUU
This is an RNA transcript of Rhododendron vialii, 1051 nucleotides long. It is a transcript of the gene named glutathione S-transferase U17-like, with no coding region annotated. The record is from RefSeq and is a predicted model, not a curated record. The transcript has 3 exons. NCBI's taxonomy places the organism in Eukaryota, Viridiplantae, Streptophyta, Magnoliopsida, Ericales, Ericaceae.